This 440-nucleotide ribosomal RNA is filed under the name uncultured bacterium. RNAcentral's name for it is "partial 16S ribosomal RNA". It matches the Rfam family "Bacterial small subunit ribosomal RNA", at positions 338 to 795 of the family's 1533-position model. The record is from RNAcentral.
CCUACGGGAGGCAGCAGUAGGGAAUAUUGCUCAAUGGGGGAAACCCUGAAGCAGCAACGCCGCGUGGAGGAUGAAGGUUUUCGGAUUGUAAACUCCUAUUGUUAGAGAAGAUAAUGACGGUAUCUAACGAAUAAGCACCGGCUAACUCCGUGCCAGCAGCCGCGGUAAUACGGAGGGUGCAAGCGUUACCCGGAAUCACUGGGCGGAAAGAGCGCGUAGGCGGGAUAGCAAGUCAGAUGUGAAAUCCUAUGGCUUAACCAUAGAACUGCAUUUGAAACUGUUAUUCUAGAGUAUGGGAGAGGUAAGUGGAAUUCUGGGUGUAGGGGUAAAAUCCGUAGAGAUUAAGAGGAAUACUCAGUGCGAAGGCGACCUGCUAGAACAUAACUGACGCUGAUGCGCGAAAGCGUGGGGAGCAAACAGGAUUAGAUACCCGGGUAGUC